AUGUGUGAGAAACUUAUUCCUGCGAUCCAAGAGCGUUGGCCGGACGAAGAUCAAGGACGGACAAUCUAUAUCCAACAAGAUAAUGCCACGCCACAUAUUCUUCCCGAUGACCCGGUUUUCCGACAAGUCAUAGAACAGACUGAUUUGGAUAUUAAGUUGCUUCAACAGCCUCCAAACAGUCCCGACAUGAACAUUCUUGAUCUCUGCAUAUUCAGGUCUCUCCAGUCCCACACCGAUAGCAGAGCACCUCAAAGCAUCAGGGAACUGAUACAAGGUGUGGAGGAGGAAUAUCGAAACUACCCGGUUGAUAAGCUAGCUAGAAGCUUCGUGACGCUGCAGUCAUGCAUCCGAGAAGUAAUGAGAAACAAGGGAGCGAUAAACUACUCGAUCCCUCACAUGAACAAGGAACGCCGGCAGGCAGAAGGACGACUUCCUAUAGCUCUAUCUAUCGAUCGUGAGCUAGUUGGACAGACCAUAGCCCUUAUAGAAGAGGCAGAAGCAAUCUUAGCAGCAGAAAAAGAGCAGAAGCAGCAGGAAAAGAGCAGCAAGACAAGAGCCGCAGCAGCCUUGAAGAAGCAGAAACACCCUUCGAAUACCAGCAGCCUCCAAGCAGCAGGAAAAGAGAACCAGGAGCCUUCAAGCAGCAGGAAAAGAGUACCAGCAGUCUCCAAGAAGCAGGAAAGGAGCAGCAACAGCCUUCAAGCAGCAGGAAAAGAGCACGAGCAGCCUUCGAGCAGCAGGAAAAGAGCAGCCACCUCCUUCAAGCGGCAGAAACACCCUUCGAGUACCAAUAGCCUCCAAGCAGCAGGAAAAGAGAACCAGGAGCCUUCAAGCAGCAAUAACAGAGCACCAGCAGCCUCCAAGCAGCAGGAAAGGAGCAACUCUUCUUUACUUGGGGUCAGCUAG
RNAcentral lists this ribosomal RNA (906 nucleotides) under Triticum aestivum (bread wheat). Its description in RNAcentral is "partial small subunit ribosomal RNA". The record is from RNAcentral. Lineage: Eukaryota; Viridiplantae; Streptophyta; Magnoliopsida; Poales; Poaceae.